GAUGAACGCUGGCGGCGUGCCUAAUACAUGCAAGUCGAGCGAACGGACGAGAAGCUUGCUUCUCUGAUGUUAGCGGCGGACGGGUGAGUAACACGUGGAUAACCUACCUAUAAGACUGGGAUAACUUCGGGAAACCGGAGCUAAUACCGGAUAAUAUUUUGAACCGCAUGGUUCAAAAGUGAAAGACGGUCUUGCUGUCACUUAUAGAUGGAUCCGCGCUGCAUUAGCUAGUUGGUAAGGUAACGGCUUACCAAGGCAACGAUGCAUAGCCGACCUGAGAGGGUGAGCGGGAACCAAGGACAAUAGACACGCACGGGGCACAUGCGGGAGGCAGAAUGGGGGAAUGAGCAGUAAGGUGCGAAAGACUGACGGAGCAACGUAGUGGGAAAGAAGAAGUGUUUCGGUACGUAUAACUAUCUUGUUAGGGAAGAACAAAUGAGCAAGUAACAACUCAGAGCGGGCCGGUGCGUAAUCAGAAAGCCACGGCUAACUACUU
RNAcentral lists this ribosomal RNA (496 nucleotides) under uncultured bacterium. RNAcentral describes it as "partial 16S ribosomal RNA". It matches the Rfam family "Bacterial small subunit ribosomal RNA", at positions 28 to 506 of the family's 1533-position model. The record is from RNAcentral.